GAUGAAGAACGCAGCGAAAUGCGAUAAGUAAUGUGAAUUGCAGAAUUCAGUGAAUCAUCGAAUCUUUGAACGCACAUUGCGCCCGCCAGUAUUCUGGCGGGCAUGCCUGUUCGAGCGUCAUUUCAACCAUCAAGCCCCCGGCUUGUGUUGGGGACCUGCGGCUGCCGCAGGCCCUGAAAACCAGUGGCGGGCUCGCUAGUCACUCCGAGCGUAGUAAUACAUCUCGCUCAGGGCGUGCUGCGGGUUCCGGCCGUUAAAAGCCUUAUUUACCCAAGGUUGACCUCGUAUCAGGUAGGAAGACCCGCUGAACUUAAGCAUAUCAAUAAGCGGAGGA
This 334-nucleotide unclassified non-coding RNA is filed under the name soil metagenome. RNAcentral's name for it is "partial contains 5.8S ribosomal RNA, internal transcribed spacer 2, and large subunit ribosomal RNA". The stretch from base 1 to 120 matches the Rfam family "5.8S ribosomal RNA", at positions 35 to 154 of the family's 154-position model. The record is from RNAcentral.